CCGCAGAGGAAACACCCCUCCAGACCAUCACCUCCACCCACGGAGGAAGCACCCCUCCAGACCAUCACCUCCACCCACAGAGGAGUUGGCCGAGCCCAAGACCAGAACCGAGGCACCAAAGGUGGCGGGCUGGUCAGCAGAGUGCGAGCCAAGGCCACGCGACAGAUGUGGUUUUGUUGGCCGCCUACGCAUUCCUCAUCCCUUCGUGAUUCCUCCAGACGAAAGGCCCUGGAUCCAGCAGAGGGCGCGCCACCGCCUGUUUUAGCGCGUCUGCCUCCAUCCCUCGGGAAACUACACCCCCACUAUCUGCGCGAGCCCAGCCGAGCUUUUCUUCGGGUCUGUGCUGGUUUUCCUUCUCUGGUACCAGCAAGGAUGCAAAUUAUCGUCUCUGGGCGCCUCGGGCUGCGAGCGGGGGUCAAGGCAAGUGCCUUGGUUUUCGUCAUCUUUUUAUAUUCAAGGACAGCAUCGCCGCUCAUUGCAUAGGGGUCGAGGCCUCGAGGGGCCCCCAGAAUCGGAGCCAUUUCCCACGUCACUCCUUUGCUCCGUGUUCUGCAGGACCCACCGACAGAAAGGGUGGGAAGCCUCUCUAGAAGGCGGGGAGCCUACACCCACGGUCCCCAUUACGACCUCCUCUGGCCCUCUGCCAUGUUGUGCCACUGGACCUCGAACCCUGUGCAAACAGAGACAAAGGAUGCCCUCGGAUCUGUCAGC
This is a long non-coding RNA of Manis pentadactyla (Chinese pangolin), 711 nucleotides long. RefSeq lists it as uncharacterized. The transcript is spliced from 3 exons. NCBI's taxonomy places the organism in Eukaryota, Metazoa, Chordata, Mammalia, Pholidota, Manidae. The record is from RefSeq and is a predicted model, not a curated record.